CGUUGCGGCAGCUACACAUGCAGUCGAGCGGAACGAUCCUAGCUUGCUAGGAGGCGUCGAGCGGCGGACGGGUGAGUAAUGCAUAGGAAUCUGCCCGGUAGUGGGGGAUAACUUGAGGAAACUCAAGCUAAUACCGCAUACGCCCCAAGGGGGAAAGCAGGGGAUCUUCGGACCUUGCGCUAUCGGAUGAGCCUAUGUCGGAUUAGCUAGUUGGUGAGGUAAUGGCUCACCAAGGCCGCGAUCCGUAGCUGGUCUGAGAGGAUGAUCAGCCACAUCGGGACUGAGACACGGCCCGAACUCCUACGGGAGGCAGCAGUGGGGAAUAUUGGACAAUGGGCGAAAGCCUGAUCCAGCCAUGCCGCGUGUGUGAAGAAGGCCUUCGGGUUGUAAAGCACUUUCAGCGAGGAAGAACGCUUGUGGGUUAAUACCCCGCAAGAAGGACAUCACUCGCAGAAGAAGCACCGGCUAACUCCGUGCCAGCAGCCGCGGUAAUACGGAGGGUGCAAGCGUUAAUCGGAAUUACUGGGCGUAAAGCGCGCGUAGGCGGCUUGAUAAGCCGGUUGUGAAAGCCCCGGGCUCAACCUGGGAACGGCAUCCGGAACUGUCAG
Molecule: ribosomal RNA, 608 nt
Rfam family: Bacterial small subunit ribosomal RNA